Molecule: ribosomal RNA, 499 nt
Filed under: uncultured bacterium
Lineage: Bacteria
Description: bacterial SSU rRNA
Rfam family: Bacterial small subunit ribosomal RNA
Source: RNAcentral
UAGUCCACGCUGUAAACGAUGAUUACUCGGUGCUAGCAAUAUACCGUUAGUGCCUAAGCGAAAGUGAUAAGUAAUCCACCUGGGGAGUACGGUCGCAAGAUUGAAACUCAAAGGAAUUGACGGGGGCCCGCACAAGCGGUGGAGCAUGUGGUUUAAUUCGAUGAUACGCGAGGAACCUUACCUGGGCUUAAAUGCAGAACGACAGAUCUGGAAACAGAUUUUUCUUCGGACGGACUGCAAGGUGCUGCAUGGUUGUCGUCAGCUCGUGCUGUGAGGUGUCGGGUUAAGUCCCAUAACGAGCGCAACCCCUAUCCUUAGUUGCCAGCGAGUAAUGUCGGGGACUCUAGGGAAACUGCCGGUGCAAACCGUGAGGAAGGUGGGGAUGACGUCAAAUCAUCACGGCCCUUACGUCCAGGGCUACACACGUGCUACAAUGGCGCAUACAAAGGGCAGCUACAUGGUGACAUGAUGCUAAUCUCUAAAGCCUGUCCCAGUUCGG